GGGGAUCUGCCCGAUAGAGGGGGAUAACCACUGGAAACGGUGGCUAAUACCGCAUAACGUCGCAAGACCAAAGAGGGGGACCUUCGGGCCUCUCACUAUCGGAUGAACCCAGAUGGGAUUAGCUAGUAGGCGGGGUAAUGGCCCACCUAGGCGACGAUCCCUAGCUGGUCUGAGAGGAUGACCAGCCACACUGGAACUGAGACACGGUCCAGACUCCUACGGGAGGCAGCAGUGGGGAAUAUUGCACAAUGGGCACAAGCCUGAUGCAGCCAUGCCGCGUGUAUGAAGAAGGCCUUCGGGUUGUAAAGUACUUUCAGCGGGGAGGAAGGCGAUGCGGUUAAUAACCGCGUCGAUUGACGUUACCCGCAGAAGAAGCACCGGCUAACUCCGUGCCAGCAGCCGCGGUAAUACGGAGGGUGCAAGCGUUAAUCGGAAUUACUGGGCGUAAAGCGCACGCAGGCGGUCUGUUAAGUCAGAUGUGAAAUCCCCGGGCUUAACCUGGGAACUGCAUUUGAAACUGGCAGGCUUGAGUCUUGUAGAGGGGGGUAGAAUUCCAGGU
Molecule: ribosomal RNA, 559 nt
Filed under: uncultured bacterium
Lineage: Bacteria
Description: bacterial SSU rRNA
Rfam family: Bacterial small subunit ribosomal RNA
Source: RNAcentral